This 435-nucleotide ribosomal RNA is filed under the name uncultured bacterium. RNAcentral's name for it is "partial 16S ribosomal RNA". It matches the Rfam family "Bacterial small subunit ribosomal RNA", at positions 29 to 507 of the family's 1533-position model. The record is from RNAcentral.
AGCGAACGCUGGCGGCAGGCUUAACACAUGCAAGUCGAGCGGGCACUUUCGGGUGUCAGCGGCGGACGGGUGAGUAACGCGUGGGAACGUGCCCUCUGGUUCGGAAUAACUCAGGGAAACUUGAGCUAAUACCGGAUACGCCCUUUUGGGGAAAGGCUUGCUGCCGGAGGAUCGGCCCGCGUCUGAUUAGCUAGUUGGUGAGGUAACGGCUCGCCAAGGCGACGAUCAGUAGCUAGUCUGAGAGGAUGAUCAGCCACACUGGGACUGAGACACGGCCCAGACUCCUACGGGAGGCAGCAGUGGGGAAUAUUGGACAAUGGGCGCAAGCCUGAUCCAGCCAUGCCGCGUGAGUGAUCAAGGCCUUAGGGUUGUAAAGCUCUUUUAUCCGGGACGAUAAUGACGGUACCGGAGGAAUAAGCCCCGGCUAACUUCGUG